Molecule: unclassified non-coding RNA, 200 nt
Filed under: soil metagenome
Description: partial contains internal transcribed spacer 2 and large subunit ribosomal RNA
Source: RNAcentral
UGACAGGCUGGUCUUAAAUGCAUUAGCUGAUCCAUGCUUGUGUACUUGGUUCUACUCGGCGUGAUAAUUAUCUGACCGCUGAGGACAUUUGCCUUGUUGCGAAUGGCCAGGUGUACCUUGGGUUGCUUCCAAUCGUGGUUACACCACAAUAUUUUUUCAACUUUGACCUCGAAUCAGGUGGGACUACCCGCUGAACUUAA